Molecule: ribosomal RNA, 1288 nt
Filed under: uncultured prokaryote
Description: partial 16S ribosomal RNA
Rfam family: Bacterial small subunit ribosomal RNA
Source: RNAcentral
AUUUAUGGGUAAAAGAUGGCUAUGCGUUCUAUUAGCUAGAUGGUAAGGUAACGGCUUACCAUGGCAACGAUAGAUAGGGGUCCUGAGAGGGAGAUCCCCCACACUGGUACUGAGACACGGACCAGACUCCUACGGGAGGCAGCAGUGAGGAAUAUUGGACAAUGGAGGCAACUCUGAUCCAGCCAUGCCGCGUGCAGGAAGACGGUCCUAUGGGUGGUAAACUGCUUUUAUAUAGGAAGAAACCUUUCCACGUGUGGAAAGCUGACGGUACUAUAAGAAUAAGCACCGGCUAACUCCGUGCCAGCAGCCGCGGUAAUACGUAGGGUGCAAGCGUUAUCCGGAUUUAUUGGGUUUAAAGGGUUCGCAGGCGGAAAAUUAAGUCAGUGGUGAAAGCCUACAGCUCAACUGUAGAACUGCCAUUGAUACUGAUUUUCUUGAGUAUAGUUGAAGUGGGCGGAAUGUGUCAUGUAGCGGUGAAAUGCAUAGAUAUGACACAGAACACCGAUAGUGAAGGCAGCUCACUAAACUAUUACUGACGCUCAUGAACGAAAGCAUGGGGAGCGAACAGGAUUAGAUACCCUGGUAGUCCAUGCCGUAAACUAUGAUCACUAGAUGUUGGCGAUAUAUUGUCAGUGUUUUAGAGAAAUCGAUAAGUAAUCCACCUGGGGAGUACGUUCGCAAGAAUGAAACUCAAAGGAAUUGACGGGGGCCCGCACAAGCGGUGGAGCAUGUGGUUUAAUUCGAUGAUACGCGAGGAACCUUACCAAGGCUUAAAUGUAAAACGACCGAUUUAGAGAUAGGCUUUUCUUCGGACAAUUUACAAGGUGCUGCAUGGUUGUCGUCAGCUCGUGCCGUGAGGUGUCGGGUUAAGCCCCAUAACGAGCGCAACCCCUAUCCUUGGUUGCCAGCAAUUUUAGGUGGGAACUCUAGGGAGACUGCCGGUGACAAACCGGAGGAAGGUGGGGACGACGUCAAGUCAUCAUGGCCCUUAUGGGCAGGGCUACACACGUGCUACAAUGGCGAAUACAAAGGGUUGCGAACCUGCGAAGGUAAGCCAAUCCCAUAAAGCUCGUCGUAGUCCGGAUCGGAGUCUGCAACUCGACUCCGUGAAGUCGGAAUCGCUAGUAAUCGCGAAUCAGAAUGUCGCGGUGAAUACGUUCCCGGGUCUUGUACACACCGCCCGUCACACCAUGGAAGUAGGUUGCACCAGAAGUAGGUAGCUUAACCCUCGGGAGAGCGCUUACCACGGUGUGGUCAAUGACUGGGGUGAAGUCGUAACAAGGUAACC